AGUGAACGCUGGCGGUAGGCCUAACACAUGCAAGUCGAACGGCAGCACAGUAAGAGCUUGCUCUUACGGGUGGCGAGUGGCGGACGGGUGAGGAAUACAUCGGAAUCUACUUUUUCUUGGGGGAUAACGUAGGGAAACUUACGCUAAUACCGCAUACGACCUACGGGUGAAAGCAGGGGAUCUUCGGACCUUGCGCGUUUGAAUGAGCCGAUGUCGGAUUAGCUAGUUGGCGGGGUAAAGGCCCACCAAGGCGACGAUCCGUAGCUGGUCUGAGAGGAUGAUCAGCCACACUGGAACUGAGACACGGUCCAGACUCCUACGGGAGGCAGCAGUGGGGAAUAUUGGACAAUGGGCGCAAGCCUGAUCCAGCCAUACCGCGUGAGUGAAGAAGGCCUUCGGGUUGUAAAGCCCUUUUGUUGGGAAAGAAAAGCAGCAGGUUAAUACCCCGCUGUUCUGACGGUACCCAAAGAAUAAGCACCGGCUAACUUCGUG
RNAcentral lists this ribosomal RNA (492 nucleotides) under uncultured bacterium. RNAcentral's name for it is "partial 16S ribosomal RNA". It matches the Rfam family "Bacterial small subunit ribosomal RNA", at positions 29 to 507 of the family's 1533-position model. The record is from RNAcentral.